RNAcentral lists this long non-coding RNA (1663 nucleotides) under Mus musculus (house mouse). RNAcentral's name for it is "long non-coding RNA chr17:51863086-51864749". Lineage: Eukaryota; Metazoa; Chordata; Mammalia; Rodentia; Muridae. The record is from RNAcentral.
AAAUUUCUUUAACCAAAAGUAUGGUUAACAUCACUCCUACUAAGACCUUCUGUCCUGUUUCUAAUAGGAUGUGCUAAAGAGGGCACCCUGCUUCUGCCAGUUCUUUCCCAUUAGUUAAUUAAGUGAUCACCAAAGAUAAAACAAAACCUCAAAAACCAAAGAACUCCAAACAAGUGAUGUUGAGAACUAUUUUGUAAAAAUUCCUGACAGGUGACCAUCAGGGAUAUUGUGUGCAAAUGGGUGGGAGUUCAAACUCAUACCCAUAAGGACCUACAGUCCAUCCCUAGCAGUAUGAGAUAGGAAAGCAGCAGGAAUGUUGCCCAUGACAAAAACCAACUCAGGACUAUCCCCAGAUGGAGCAGGCAGGGAGACAUGAACUAAACAUUUUCUGAUUCCUGAGUGAAACUCAAGAACUAAAGGGACACUAGUGUAAAUCUUGUAACAUAUAGACAGUCCAUCACUUGUUUAAUUUUAACGAACCUAUCCUUCUGGUUUCUGUCUGCACUGCAGAGCUGACCCUGUGCCAAGCUCUCCAUACCCAAGUCCUGCUGGGAGAAAGCUGGUCUCCCAGGAGUGCUGACACACAGGCUUACAAGAGGGACAAGCCACAGUCAGAGACAGCAAGACAAGCUAACACAACAGAUGACCAGAUGGUAAGAGGCAAGGGCAAGAACAUAAGCAACAGACACCAAGGCUACUUGGCAUCAUCAGAACCCAGUUCUCCCACCAUAGCAAGCCCUGUAUACCCCAACACAUAGGAAAAUCAAGACUCUAAAGUAAAAAUCACAUCUCCUGAUGAUGAGAGAGGACUUUAAGAAGGACAUAAAUAACUCCCUUAAAAGAAAUACAGGAGAACACAGGUAAACAGGUAGAAGCCCUUAAAGAAGAAACACAAGCCGGGAGUGGAGGCACACACCUUUAAUCCCAUUACUCGGGAGGCAAGGGCAGGCAGAUUUCUGAGUUCGAGGCCUGCCUGGUCUACAAAGUGAGUUCCAGGACAGCCAGGGCUACACAGAGAAACCCUGUCUCGAAAAACCAAAAAAAAAAAAAAAAAAAAAAAAAAAAAAAAAAAGAAGAAGAAGAAGAAGAAGAAGAAGAAGAAGAAGAAGAAGAAGAAACACAAAAACCCCUGAAAGAAGGCAACCUAGAGAUAGAAAACCUAGAAAAGAGAUCAGGAGUCACAGACAGAAGCAUCACCAACAGAAUACAAGGAAUAGAAGAGAGAAUUUCAAGGGCAGAAGACACCAUAGAAAACAUUGACACAAACAGUCAAAGAAACUGCAAAAUGCAAAAAGCUCCUAACCCAAAACAUCCAGGAAAUCCAGAACACAGUGAAAACCUAAGGAUUUUAUGUUGGGAGCCGCGCCCACAUUCGCCGUUACAAGAUGGCGCUGACAGCUGUGUUCUAAGUGGUAAACAAAUAAUCUGCGCAUGUGCCAAGGGUAUCUUAUGACUACUUGUGCUCUGCCUUCCCCGUGACGUCAACUCGGCCGAUGGGCUGCAGCCAAUCAAGGAGUGACACGUCCGAGGCGAAGGAGAAUUCUCCUUAAAAAGGGACGGGGUUUCGUUUUCUCUCUCUCUUGCUUCUUGCUCUCUUGCUUCCUGCACUCCUGCUCCUGAAGAUGUAAGAAAUAAAGCUUUGCCGCAGAAGAUUCUGGUCUGU